CCCUUGCCGUGCGCAGGCCGCUGGAAACACCUCAGACCCCUCGCCGUGCGCAGGCCGCUGGAAACACCACAGACCCCUCGGGGAGGCAGGCAGAGUCCUCCGCGGUGCCUGCAGGAGCCCAGGGCAACAGUCCCCUGCUGGAUAGAGGAGCAUUAGCCCCGGAACAACUAGAGUCACUCACCCUGCAGAGCUGAGCAAUCUCUUCUGCUUUCAAAGCUCAUGAGACACAAGUGAGGGCUCUGAAGAAAUGAUGCUGAAUCCCUUUGGAUUGUGCCAAGAUGCUUCCACUUGCUGAGGAACACGUUUGGUAUUGUCAGCUUGGUGUGCAGCUGAAGAGCAAAUGACUGGACACUCAGAGACAUAGCAGGAGCCAACGAUGCCAGGCUUUGGCACACUUAGACUGGGAGGCUAUAAAAGCUGAAGGUUUCCAUUCUUGCGGGUCCUUCCUUGAAGGCACACAGCUCAAGUUGUUUUUUUGUUGUUGCACCAUGAUGAAAUUAUUUUAAGGAUCCUGACGUCUGAGAGUCUGCUAUGCAAAAUCUGGGGAUGAGCUGACCACUUCAGAGAAGGGAAGAAGAAGUGGCAGACUGCAUUUUGAACCUAUCAGUCAUGGUGUAAAACUGAAAAGUUUCUAAGUCACUGCAAAUUCUAAGUUCCCUUGAAUGUUCUUUAGAUACUCCAACCCCUAAACCUCAGCAGAAGUCAGAGGUAAUGAUAGUCUGAAAAGUCUAAACUACUUGAUCGGGGGAUUGCAGCUGAUAAGUACAAGCUGAUACCUUGCAAAAUUUUGCCUAUUUAUAAAUGAGCUUUUUCCCCGGCUUUCCUCAGUGCCAGUUGAGUGCAAGUGUUGGCAAGAUCCACGCUAGUUUGUCUGGACUCUGAACCACUUUGCUGAAUACUUAAUCAAGCUGCUCGCCUCCCUUUCCCAACAGAGGCCAUUUAUACAGCAAGAGAAUCAGCUGGUCGAUGAAGCAGACAAGUGGAGCAGGGGAGAGGGAGCAAGCUCUUUGAAUGGGAUGAGAACACAGCCACCGGCACCUCAAGAAAGUUUAUCUGUCUCCAGUGCCAAGCAUACACAGUGCUAAUCUUUUGUUGCCAUGAAUAUUCAAGCCCAGCUGCCAGCAACAGAGGGAGCAGCUGCAGUGGCAGAGCUGGCAGGUCCCCUCGUGGUGCCCUCACUUGCCGACCCUGGCAUCUGGGUCUGUCUGGGUGUGGGGAGGGGGAGAUGCUGCUUGCAUUGCAGACAGCAGACAACAAGCCAUUCAGCAGCCCAGCCCCACGCUUCCUAAGCAGCAAGGAGUCAGGAACACACUCGGCCUGGAGAGCCCAGGACUGUCCUCUCUUGCUAACAUGGGUAUGCCAGAUGUUCCUGAUGUUUGGGGUCAUGUGAAGCCCUGGAGGGAAGAGGUGAGUCUGGGAUAAGAAAGAGCAACAGCUGGGGCAAUCUAAGAUUGAAGGACGUCUGCUGCUGCUUGGAGAAAUUAGUGAGACAAAACCCUGCAGGCUCCCUGGGAAGCUAGGCAUACACAGCCCUAGGCAGAUCACAAGUCUCGUGGCUUAUUUGGCAAAGGUGCCUAUUUGUUACACAGGGUGGGCUGGUGAAUGCCAUUACAACAAUGCAGCACUGGUCACAGUUGCAGGUGAAUGCUGCUGCGGUGUGAGGGAAGAGUUGAAGGAUUUUUGUCACACAAGGUGGGAAGCAGCAGUAGGAGGAAGCCAUGAACUCUCCUCAGAAGACCAACCUGUGCUUCUCCACAAUUUAGGGCAGCAUUUCAGGAACAGGGCAAUGUAAGAGCAAGUUUUUGCCUCAGCAUACUCCAUAGGGGCAGAUAAAUGCAUUGGUACAAGUGUUAAGAGACUACAUCUAUGCUUCCAAGGCAUCACUCCACCCAGCACCAAAGUCAUCAGAGGCUGUAAUGACCCUGCCUCGGCACAGAAGAUCACUGAGACCCACUUUGCUUAGAUUUCCCUGGUAAUGCAAUAAAAUAUUCUAGGGAAAAAAUACAUGAAGAAAACAAACAAACCAAAAAGAAAAAAUGUCUGGGGAAGGCAAGACCAAGCUUCAAGAAACACCUGAGACACAGAUUACUUCCCACCAAACCCAGAGUGGUCACUGUCAUAGAGCUUUGGGAGGCUGGAGACUGCUGCUGAACUUUUUGCUUCUGUGUGAUGAAGGUGGCUCCUGGAGCUCUUGCUAUGGUCAGCUGUCAACUGCUGACAUUCAAAAAUGUUCAUUCUCAUUCUUCUGAGGCUCUAAUUCCCUUCAGGAAAGCAGAGCAUCAAUACAUCCCCAUUACAAUGCCACAAGCACAACAUUGCCUCACCAGAACUGAAAAUUUCCUGUCUCUGGCACAUAACUUUCCAUCAAGCACAGGCAUACAGCCACAAACCAAACCAGUUAUCCAGGCCUCCUUGGUACAGGGCCUAGAACCGUGGAGUAGUGGAUAUUGCUAGAAAAACUACCAGAAACAGGGCUAGACAGGUAUGCUAAGAGAGGCAACAGCCUUUGAAGGCUAGAGGUGGACAUUGUGCAGUUAGCUAUUGAUCUCCAAGAAACAGGGGACGGUUUCUCCAAGAAACAAGAGGAUCAGACCUGAUCAUCUGGGGGUUUGCAUCCCCACAACACUUUCUGUAGGCAGCCCAUAAGGAAAAAUGAGCCAUAGGCCUGCCUUGGGAUUUACAUUUUAGAACACCUCAUGGACCAGGGUAAGCACUCUUAAGCAAGUAGUAAUGCAACACUGCAAAAUAAAAAAGACAUGAUCUCUUGAUGAUGUUGAACUUUCCAGUCCUCAAUCCUGUCUCUUUCCUUCCAAAUUAAAAAAUAAAGUCUAUACUAACUGUAUUUUCAAAUAGGACACCUCAGACAAAGAGGGAAAUGUAGGAAUAAAGAUAAGAGAAAUCA
Molecule: non-coding RNA, 2902 nt
Organism: Cyanistes caeruleus (blue tit)
Lineage: Eukaryota; Metazoa; Chordata; Aves; Passeriformes; Paridae
Source: RefSeq, a predicted model, not a curated record